Molecule: ribosomal RNA, 112 nt
Filed under: Caerostris extrusa
Lineage: Eukaryota; Metazoa; Arthropoda; Arachnida; Araneae; Araneidae
Source: RNAcentral
AACGGCCAUACCAUACUGAAUAUACCGGUUCUCGUUAGAUCACCGAAGUCAAGCAUCAUUGGGCGCGGUCAGUACUUGGGUGGGUGACCACCUGGGAACACCGCGUGACGUU